UACGUAGGGGGCAAGCGUUAUCCGGAUUUACUGGGUGUAAAGGGAGCGUAGACGGCAUGGCAAGCCAGAUGUGAAAUACCGGGGCUGAACCCCGGGACUGCAUUUGGAACUGUUAAGCUGGAGUGUCGGAGAGGCAGGCGGAAUUCCUAGUGUAGCGGUGAAAUGCGUAGAUAUUAGGAGGAACACCAGUGGCGAAGGCGGCCUGCUGGACGAUAACUGACGUUGAGGCUCGAAAGCGUGGGGAGCAAACAGG
Molecule: ribosomal RNA, 253 nt
Filed under: uncultured bacterium
Lineage: Bacteria
Description: partial 16S ribosomal RNA
Rfam family: Bacterial small subunit ribosomal RNA
Source: RNAcentral